Molecule: transfer RNA, 72 nt
Filed under: bacterium
Lineage: Bacteria
Description: tRNA-Lys
Rfam family: tRNA
About the family: Transfer RNA (tRNA) molecules are approximately 80 nucleotides in length. Their secondary structure includes four short double-helical elements and three loops (D, anti-codon, and T loops). Further hydrogen bonds mediate the characteristic L-shaped molecular structure. tRNAs have two regions of fundamental functional importance: the anti-codon, which is responsible for specific mRNA codon recognition, and the 3' end, to which the tRNAs corresponding amino acid is attached (by aminoacyl-tRNA synthetases). tRNAs cope with the degeneracy of the genetic code in two manners: having more than one tRNA (with a specific anti-codon) for a particular amino acid; and 'wobble' base-pairing, i.e. permitting non-standard base-pairing at the 3rd anti-codon position.
Source: RNAcentral
GCCCUGCUGGCGCAAUGGUAGCGCACCAAACUUUUAAUUUGGGGGCUAGGGGUUCGAGUCCCCUGCAGGGCA